This 466-nucleotide ribosomal RNA is filed under the name Vreelandella stevensii. RNAcentral's name for it is "partial 16S ribosomal RNA". It matches the Rfam family "Bacterial small subunit ribosomal RNA", at positions 338 to 795 of the family's 1533-position model. The record is from RNAcentral. Lineage: Bacteria; Pseudomonadati; Pseudomonadota; Gammaproteobacteria; Oceanospirillales; Halomonadaceae.
CCUACGGGUGAGCAGCAGUGGGGAAUAUUGGACAAUGGGCGAAAGCCUGAUCCAGCCAUGCCGCGUGUGUGAAGAAGGCCUUCGGGUUGUAAAGCACUUUCAGUGGGGAAGAAAGCCUUGGGGCUAAUACCCUCGAGGAAGGACAUCACCCACAGAAGAAGCACCGGCUAACUCCGUGCCAGCAGCCGCGGUAAUACGGAGGGUGCGAGCGUUAAUCGGAAUUACUGGGCGUAAAGCGCGCGUAGGCGGUCUGAUAAGCCGGUUGUGAAAGCCCCGGGCUCAACCUGGGAACGGCAUCCGGAACUGUCAGGCUAGAGUGUAGGAGAGGAAGGUAGAAUUCCCGGUGUAGCGGUGAAAUGCGUAGAGAUCGGGAGGAAUACCAGUGGCGAAGGCGGCCUUCUGGACUGACACUGACGCUGAGGUGCGAAAGCGUGGGUAGCAAACAGGAUUAGAUACCCUAGUAGUC